CUGAUGUGUUUUUAUAUCAUACAUAUUUAUAACAGUGAUCUUCUCUAGAGCAAUAUCUGUAAUCUGAUAAUAAAUCUGUAUUCUGUAGUUCUGCUGCUUUUACUAAAGUGACUCAACAAGUCAAGAGACAUCUCUGCAUCUUUUGAGCUGCAUCUGGAUUCAGAUUUUAAAAUGAUCCUUUUCCACAGCACUGAUGGGAUAUGGAUCUUGGCCUGCAGGGAAAUCGGGAAAUCCUGAUUCAUCUGUGAUCAUCAAGAGGCCAGUCACGCACGCCAGUUGUCCUCCCACAGCCUCAUCAUCCUCAUCGUCCUUGUCAUCCUCAUCCUCAUCCUCAUCAUCCUCAUCGGCCUCAUCAUCCUCUUUGGCCUCAUCAACCUCAUCAUCCUCGUCAUCCUCAUCAUCCUUGUUGUCUUCAUCAUCCUCAUCGGCCUCAUUGGCCUCUUCCGCGUCUUCGGCCUCAUCAUCCUCAUCCUCAUCAUCCUCAUCAUCCUCAUCAUCCUCAUCAUC
This is a long non-coding RNA of Cottoperca gobio, 507 nucleotides long. RefSeq lists it as uncharacterized. NCBI's taxonomy places the organism in Eukaryota, Metazoa, Chordata, Actinopteri, Perciformes, Bovichtidae. The record is from RefSeq and is a predicted model, not a curated record. The transcript has 3 exons.